RNAcentral lists this unclassified non-coding RNA (329 nucleotides) under Hevea brasiliensis (rubber tree). Lineage: Eukaryota; Viridiplantae; Streptophyta; Magnoliopsida; Malpighiales; Euphorbiaceae. The record is from RNAcentral.
GUUUUUCCUCUUCAAUGCCGGAGAAUCUCUCUGUAAAUACAAAUUAUGGUAGAAACAGAGUUGCUACCUCCUGUUCUCUUCAUACGCCUUCUAUUAUUCAAAUUCCUAAGCAUUCUCACACCGCAUUUCCAUCUCCUAUUAAGACUGCAGUGCCUAAACCCCUUCCAGUUUCGCCUCCCUCCCUGUCCUCCGCAUCCGAUGACUGGAAUUUCUUGCAGCGGGCUGCGGCUAUGGCUCUUGAUGCGGUUGAAAAUGCUCUGGUUUCGGCAGAGCGGAAGCAUUCCUUGCCCAAGACCGCCGACCCUGCGGUUCAAAUUGCUGGCAAUUUU